AUUGAACGCUGGCGGCAGGCCUAACACAUGCAAGUCGAACGAGUGGCGGACGGGUGAGUAAUGUCUGGUAAACUGCCCACUGGGGGGGUAUAACUACUGGAAACGGUAGCUAAUACCGCAUCCCAUCGGAUGUGCCCCUAUGGGAUUAGCUAGUAGGUGGGGUAACGUCUCACCUAGAUGACGAUCCCUAGCUGGUCUGAGAGGAUGACGAGCCACACUGGAACUGAGACAAGGUCCAGACUCCGACGUGAGGCAGCAGUGGGGAAUAUUGAACAAGGAGCGCAAGCCGAAUGCAGCCAUGCCGCGUGUAUGAAGAAGGCCUUCGGGUUGUAAAGUACGUUCAGCGAGGAGGCGGUACUCGCAGAAGAAGCACCGGCUAACUCCGUGCCAGCAGCCGCGGUAAUAC
Molecule: ribosomal RNA, 406 nt
Filed under: uncultured bacterium
Lineage: Bacteria
Description: partial 16S ribosomal RNA
Rfam family: Bacterial small subunit ribosomal RNA
Source: RNAcentral